GAUGAACGCUAGCGGCAGGCCUAAUACAUGCAAGUCGAACGGGAUCCAGAUCAAAGCUUGCUUUGGUCCGGUGAGAGUGGCGCACGGGUGCGUAACGCGUGAGCAACCUACCCUUGUCAGGGGGAUAGCCCGGCGAAAGUCGGAUUAAUACCGCAUGACAUCAUUGAGAGGCAUCUUUCGAUGAUCAAAGAUUUAUCGGACAAGGAUGGGCUCGCGUGACAUUAGCUCGUUGGUAAGGUAACGGCUUACCAAGGCUGCGAUGUCUAGGGGCUCUGAGAGGAGCACCCCCCACACUGGUACUGCGCCACGGACCAGACUCCUACGGGAGGCAGCAGUAAGGAAUAUUGGUCAAUGGACGGAAGUCUGAACCAGCCAUGCCGCGUGCAGGAGGACGGCCCUAUGGGUUGUAAACUGCUUUUAUACGGGAACAAACGUCGGUACGUGUACCGGUCUGAGUGUACCGUAAGAAUAAGGAUCGGCUAACUCCGUG
Molecule: ribosomal RNA, 490 nt
Filed under: uncultured bacterium
Lineage: Bacteria
Description: partial 16S ribosomal RNA
Rfam family: Bacterial small subunit ribosomal RNA
Source: RNAcentral